UCGGAGUGCUUGCACUCUGUGAAACAAGAUACAGGCUAGCGGCGGACGGGUGAGUAACACGUGGGUAACCUGCCCAAGAGAUCGGGAUAACACCUGGAAACAGAUGCUAAUACCGGAUAACAACAGAUGAUGCCUAUCAACUGUUUAAAAGAUGGUUCUGCUAUCACUCUUGGAUGGACCUGCGGUGCAUUAGCUAGUUGGUAGGGUAACGGCCUACCAAGGCGAUGAUGCAUAGCCGAGUUGAGAGACUGAUCGGCCACAUUGGGACUGAGACACGGCCCAAACUCCUACGGGAGGCAGCAGUAGGGAAUCUUCCACAAUGGACGCAAGUCUGAUGGAGCAACGCCGCGUGAGUGAAGAAGGGUUUCGGCUCGUAAAGCUCUGUUGUUGGUGAAGAAGGACAGGGGUAGUAACUGACCUUUGUUUGACGGUAAUCAAUUAGAAAGUCACGGCUAACUACGUGCCAGCAGCCGCGGUAAUACGUAGGUGGCAAGCGUUGUCCGGAUUUAUUGGGCGUAAAGCGAGUGCAGGCGGCUCGAUAAGUCUGAUGUGAAAGCCUUCGGCCCAACCGGAGAAUUGCAUCAGAAACUGUCGAGCUUGAGUACAGAAGAGGAGAGUGGAACUCCAUGUGUAGCGGUGAAAUGCGUAGAUAUAUGGAAGAACACCGGUGGCGAAGGCGGCUCUCUGGUCUGUUACUGACGC
This 702-nucleotide ribosomal RNA is filed under the name uncultured bacterium. RNAcentral's name for it is "bacterial SSU rRNA". It matches the Rfam family "Bacterial small subunit ribosomal RNA", at positions 71 to 746 of the family's 1533-position model. The record is from RNAcentral.